This 429-nucleotide ribosomal RNA is filed under the name Chloroflexota bacterium. Its description in RNAcentral is "Chloroflexi bacterium partial 16S ribosomal RNA". It matches the Rfam family "Bacterial small subunit ribosomal RNA", at positions 355 to 776 of the family's 1533-position model. Lineage: Bacteria; Bacillati; Chloroflexota. The record is from RNAcentral.
UGGGGAAUAUUGCACAAUGGGCGCAAGCCUGAUGCAGCCAUGCCGCGUGUAUGAAGAAGGCCUUCGGGUUGUAAAGUACUUUCAGCGGGGAUGAAGGGAGUAAAGUUAAUACCUUUGCUCAUUGACGUUACCCGCAGAAGAAGCACCGGCUAACUCCGUGCCAGCAGCCGCGGUAAUACGGAGGGUGCAAGCGUUAAUCGGAAUUACUGGGCGUAAAGCGCACGCAGGCGGUCUGUCAAGUCGGAUGUGAAAUCCCCGGGCUCAACCUGGGAACUGCAUUCGAAACUGGCAGGCUAGAGUCUUGUAGAGGUGGGUAGAAUUCCAGGUGUAGCGGUGAAAUGCGUAGAGAUCUGGAGGAAUACCGGUGGCGAAGGCGGCCCCCUGGACAAAGACUGACGCUCAGGUGCGAAAGCGUGGGGAGCAAACAGG